This 421-nucleotide long non-coding RNA is filed under the name Nicotiana benthamiana. RNAcentral's name for it is "long non-coding RNA (NBEN_LNC015918)". Lineage: Eukaryota; Viridiplantae; Streptophyta; Magnoliopsida; Solanales; Solanaceae. The record is from RNAcentral.
GGGAUUGAAAUAAGGAAAAACAAGGAGUAUCUGCAGAGUAACACAGUACUUAAAACCCAACAGAAAUGCAACUAGCCCAGGCACAACUAAGAAAACCAGUUUUGAAACAAGUUUGAACCAACAAAAAUAGCAAUUGAUGCUCAAUAAUCAGCAGGCAACCAGAAACUUAAACCAAAACGCUUGAAAAUCAACCAUAACUUAAGCCAUUUUAACCACUGACUGUUCAUAGAUGAUUUCAGAAAUGAGAGUUCCCUAGAUUACCAAAUUCUUCAAUGGAACAGUAUUCUACUAAAUACUUUCAGCUAUUUUUGGGUUUUUAGCUCUCAAAAUCUAGAUUUCUCUCUUCAAUUUAAUAGUGUUUAAGGCUCUCUAUUUAUGAAAAAUCCAAAGAGCUCAGCUAUCUACCUAUUCUCUAAUUUUU